Molecule: ribosomal RNA, 376 nt
Filed under: uncultured Campylobacterota bacterium
Lineage: Bacteria; Pseudomonadati; Campylobacterota
Description: bacterial SSU rRNA
Rfam family: Bacterial small subunit ribosomal RNA
Source: RNAcentral
UAAUACGGAGGGUGCAAGCGUUAUUCGGAAUCACUGGGCGUAAAGGACGCGUAGGCGGGUUGUCAAGUCUGAUGUGAAAUCCUAUGGCUCAACCAUAGAACUGCAUUGGAAACUGGCAACCUAGAGUAUGGGAGGGGGAGAUGGAAUUAGUGGUGUAGGGGUAAAAUCCGUAGAUAUCACUAGGAAUACCGAAAGCGAAGGCGAUCUCCUGGAACAUUACUGACGCUAAGGCGUGAAAGCGUGGGGAGCAAACGGGAUUAGAUACCCCGGUAGUCCACGCCCUAAACGAUGUUCACUAGUCGUCGGGAUGCUAGUCAUCUCGGUGAUGCACUUAACAGAUUAAGUGAACCGCCUGGGGAGUACGGUCGCAAGAUUA